This 75-nucleotide transfer RNA is filed under the name Terrilactibacillus laevilacticus. RNAcentral describes it as "tRNA-Gln". It matches the Rfam family "tRNA". From Rfam's summary of the family: Transfer RNA (tRNA) molecules are approximately 80 nucleotides in length. Their secondary structure includes four short double-helical elements and three loops (D, anti-codon, and T loops). Lineage: Bacteria; Bacillati; Bacillota; Bacilli; Caryophanales; Bacillaceae. RNAcentral also lists the same sequence under 1 other name. The record is from RNAcentral.
UGCCCCAUAGCCAAGCGGUAAGGCAACGGUUUUUGGUUCCGUCAUGCGUUGGUUCGAAUCCAGCUGGGGCAGCCA